GACGAAGGGGGCUAGCGUUGUUCGGAAUUACUGGGCGUAAAGCGCGUGUAGGCGGUUGUCCAAGUUGGAUGUGAAAGCCUUGAGCUCAACUCAAGAAAUGCAUUCAGGACUGGAUGACUAGAGGACCGGAGAGGAUAGUGGAAUUCCCAGUGUAGUGGUGAAAUACGUAGAGAUUGGGAAGAACACCAGUGGCGAAGGCGGCUAUCUGGACGGUUUCUGACGCUAAGACGCGAAAGCGUGGGGAGCAAACAGGG
RNAcentral lists this ribosomal RNA (254 nucleotides) under uncultured bacterium. RNAcentral's name for it is "partial 16S ribosomal RNA". It matches the Rfam family "Bacterial small subunit ribosomal RNA", at positions 524 to 777 of the family's 1533-position model. The record is from RNAcentral.